RNAcentral lists this ribosomal RNA (242 nucleotides) under uncultured bacterium. Its description in RNAcentral is "partial 16S ribosomal RNA". It matches the Rfam family "Bacterial small subunit ribosomal RNA", at positions 17 to 254 of the family's 1533-position model. The record is from RNAcentral.
GAUUGGCUCAGGACGAACGCUGGCGGCGCGCCUAACACAUGCAAGUCGAACGAGAGAGAAGGAGCUUGCUUCUUCGAUCGAGUGGCGAACGGGUGAGUAACGCGUGAGGAACCUGCCUCAAAGAGGGGGACAACAGUUGGAAACGACUGCUAAUACCGCAUAAGCCCACGGGUCGGCAUCGAUCUGAGGGAAAAGGAGCAAUCCGCUUUGAGAUGGCCUCGCGUCCGAUUAGCUAGUUGGUG